Molecule: long non-coding RNA, 1099 nt
Organism: Mus musculus (house mouse)
Lineage: Eukaryota; Metazoa; Chordata; Mammalia; Rodentia; Muridae
Product: predicted gene, 40348
Exons: 3
Source: RefSeq, a predicted model, not a curated record
CCCCAGAGGAGGCCGGGACACCCACAAACAGGUGGAAUGUGUGUGGGAUGAAGGGUCCAAGAAAGUGAAGAUCACUGCUUCAACUAUUCAUUCCUUGAUGGAGGCUUAGUGGGGUAUGGGGUGAGGCAGGGACACCAACCAGGGAAGGGACACCAGAAUAGCAUUCCCUACCCACUCUGUACUAUGUACCAGGGGUCACAAGUCACACCCAUGGGGAGCAACUGUCGUCGGUGGGAGGGAUGGAUGGGAGCGGAGCUGGUGGCAGCCAGCUGAGUCACAUCCUAUCCUCCUCACCUGCCCGGCCCUUAGCAACAGCAAACACAGCAGACAACCUAGGUCUCUUUGAGAAGUCAUCCCUGUGGCUCUGUUAUUUGCCAACGACAUCGAUUCCCUCUUCUAGAACCCUGCAGACAUUCCUGGUUUCCUGGACUCCAGGCUAGGGGCUGUUUGAAGGAAUAGGAAGCCAACUACUGAGAUGCUGCCUAGAAACUCAGGCUUAAAUCAGAAAUCUCCAAUGAGCUCCCAGGUCAGCGUCCCGUCCAGAUCCUCCGGGUAAAAGUAGUGGCCGAAGUCCUUGGCAGCAUUCUGGAAGCAGUACUCUACAGGGGAAGGGAUGGCAGCUAGAGUCAGCCAGGACUCUCCCUGGAUCACUGUUUACCAUCACACUUCAUCUGCUCCUGCUGCUCACAGUUCUGAGGGGCCGCUCAACUCACCGGCAGGGUCGAAGCUGAAGGUUAGAGAGUCCUCAUCCACCGUGGUGAAGUUACCAUUGUAGCACAGUAUGUGGUCUGCCAGAAAUAAAGGAGGAGAAAAACACAACAAAAACCAUAAAGGCUUCUUUCUGCCUGUCUGUCAACAGCCAGGCCUCCCCUUCUCCCACCAGGGCCCCUCCCCUUCUCCCACCAGGGCUCCUCCCCUUCUCCCACCAGGGAUCCACUCCUUUUCCCACCAGGACUCCUCCCCUUCUCCUACCAAGACUUCUCCCCUUCUCCCACCUGGACUCCUCCCCUUCUCCCACCAGGGUUCCUCCCCUUCUCCCACCAGGGAUCCACCCCUUCUCCCACCAGGGCUCCUUCUUUCUCCUUCCUCUUCCUUUACU